UACGGAGGAUGCGAGCGUUACCCGGAUUUAUUGGGUUUAAAGGGUGCGUAGGCGGCCUGCCAAGUCAGCGGUAAAAUUGCGGGGCUCAACCCCGUACAGCCGUUGAAACUGCCGGGCUCGAGUGGGCGAGAAGUAUGCGGAAUGCGUGGUGUAGCGGUGAAAUGCAUAGAUAUCACGCAGAACCCCGAUUGCGAAGGCAGCAUACCGGCGCCCUACUGACGCUGAGGCACGAAAGUGCGGGGAUCAAACAGG
RNAcentral lists this ribosomal RNA (252 nucleotides) under uncultured bacterium. Its description in RNAcentral is "partial 16S ribosomal RNA". It matches the Rfam family "Bacterial small subunit ribosomal RNA", at positions 524 to 776 of the family's 1533-position model. The record is from RNAcentral.